AUGCACGCUGGCGGCGUGCCUAAUACAUGCAAGUCGAGCGAACAGACGAGGAGCUUGCUCCUCUGACGUUAGCGGCGGACGGGUGAGUAACACGUGGAUAACCUACCUAUAAGACUGGGAUAACUUCGGGAAACCGGAGCUAAUACCGGAUAAUAUAUUGAACCGCAUGGUUCAAUAGUGAAAGACGGUUUUGCUGUCACUUAUAGAUGGAUCCGCGCCGCAUUAGCUAGUUGGUAAGGUAACGGCUUACCAAGGCAACGAUGCGUAGCCGACCUGAGAGGGUGAUCGGCCACACUGGAACUGAGACACGGUCCAGACUCCUACGGGGGGCAGCAGUAGGGAAUCUUCCGCAAUGGGCGAAAGCCUGACGGAGCAACGCCGCGUGAGUGAUGAAGGUCUUCGGAUCGUAAAACUCUGUUAUUAGGGAAGAACAAAUGUGUAAGUAACUAUGCACGUCUUGACGGUACCUAAUCAGAAAGCCACGGCUAACUACGUG
Molecule: ribosomal RNA, 496 nt
Filed under: uncultured bacterium
Lineage: Bacteria
Description: partial 16S ribosomal RNA
Rfam family: Bacterial small subunit ribosomal RNA
Source: RNAcentral